CCUUGCCAGCCCGCUCAGAAACUCAAAGGAAGUUGACGGGGCCCGGCACAAGCGGAGGAGCAUGUGGUUUAAUUCGAUGAUACGCGAGGAACCUUACCUGGGCUCGAACGUAAGAUGACUGUAGGUGAAAGCUUACAUCUCUUCGGAGCAUUUUACGAGGUGCUGCAUGGUUGUCGUCAGCUCGUGCCGUGAGGUGUCGGGUUAAGUCCCAUAACGAGCGCAACCCCUACCUUAGUUGCCAUCAGGUUAAGCUGGGGACUCUAAAGGAACUGCCUACGCAAGUAGUGAGGAAGGCGGGGAUGACGUCAAAUCAGCACGGCCCUUACGUCCAGGGCUACACACGUGCUACAAUGGCCGAUACAGAGGGCAGCUACCUGGUGACAGGAUGCAAAUCUCCAAAGUCGGUCUCAGUUCGGAUCGGAGUCUGCAACCCGACUCCGUGAAGUUGGAUUCGCUAGUAAUCGCGCAUCAGCCAUGGCGCGGUGAAUACGUUCCCGGGCCUU
RNAcentral lists this ribosomal RNA (503 nucleotides) under uncultured Sphingobacteriales bacterium. Its description in RNAcentral is "bacterial SSU rRNA". It matches the Rfam family "Bacterial small subunit ribosomal RNA", at positions 903 to 1382 of the family's 1533-position model. The record is from RNAcentral. Lineage: Bacteria; Pseudomonadati; Bacteroidota; Sphingobacteriia; Sphingobacteriales.